GACGAACGCUGGCGGCGUGCCUAAUACAUGCAAGUAGAACGCUGAAGCUUGGUGCUUGCACCGAGCGGAUGAGUUGCGAACGGGUGAGUAACGCGUAGGUAACCUGCCUGGUAGCGGGGGAUAACUAUUGGAAACGAUAGCUAAUACCGCAUAAAAUGGAUUAUCGCAUGAUAAUCCAUUGAAAGGUGCAAAUGCAUCACUACCAGAUGGACCUGCGUUGUAUUAGCUGGUUGGUGGGGUAACGGCUCACCAAGGCGACGAUACAUAGCCGACCUGAGAGGGUGAUCGGCCACACUGGGACUGAGACACGGCCCAGACUCCUACGGGAGGCAGCAGUAGGGAAUCUUCGGCAAUGGACGGAAGUCUGACCGAGCAACGCCGCGUGAGUGAAGAAGGUUUUCGGAUCGUAAAGCUCUGUUGUAAGAGAAGAACGAGUGUGAGAGUGGAAAGUUCACACUGUGACG
RNAcentral lists this ribosomal RNA (464 nucleotides) under Streptococcus sp. oral taxon 070. Its description in RNAcentral is "bacterial SSU rRNA". It matches the Rfam family "Bacterial small subunit ribosomal RNA", at positions 28 to 474 of the family's 1533-position model. The record is from RNAcentral. Lineage: Bacteria; Bacillati; Bacillota; Bacilli; Lactobacillales; Streptococcaceae.